AGUGAACGCUGGCGGUAGGCCUAACACAUGCAAGUCGAACGGCAGCACAGGAGAGCUUGCUCUCUGGGUGGCGAGUGGCGGACGGGUGAGGAAUACAUCGGAAUCUGCCCAGUCGUGGGGGAUAACGUAGGGAAACUUACGUUAAUACCGCAUACGACCUUCGGGUGAAAGAGGGGGAUCGCAAGACCUCUCGCGAUUGGAUGAGCCGAUGUCGGAUUAGCUAGUUGGCGGGGUAAUGGCCCACCAAGGCGACGAUCCGUAGCUGGUCUGAGAGGAUGAUCAGCCACACUGGAACUGAGACACGGUCCAGACUCCUACGGGAGGCAGCAGUGGGGAAUAUUGGACAAUGGGCGCAAGCCUGAUCCAGCCAUACCGCGUGGGUGAAGAAGGCCUUCGGGUUGUAAAGCCCUUUUGUUGGGAAAGAAAUCUUUCAGGCUAAUACCCUGGGAGGAUGACGGUACCCAAAGAAUAAGCACCGGCUAACUUCGUG
This 490-nucleotide ribosomal RNA is filed under the name uncultured bacterium. Its description in RNAcentral is "partial 16S ribosomal RNA". It matches the Rfam family "Bacterial small subunit ribosomal RNA", at positions 29 to 507 of the family's 1533-position model. The record is from RNAcentral.